Molecule: long non-coding RNA, 216 nt
Filed under: Medicago truncatula (barrel medic)
Lineage: Eukaryota; Viridiplantae; Streptophyta; Magnoliopsida; Fabales; Fabaceae
Description: long non-coding RNA (MTRU_LNC004310)
Source: RNAcentral
CAGGGUCUUUUUGGUCAAGUUCACUCACCUUCAAGCACAGGUCCUCAAACUCAUGAUGGUCAGAAUACGGUCAACAGGUAUGGUAACACCUGAUGGAGGAAACCAAGGAGUGGUAGACUCAAAUGCAAUGUUGUUGUCUCUUUUUCUACAUCCAGUAAUAAAGUAGGCAUAUGCAUAUGUAUUCGUGAUUCAGAAGGAAACCAUGUUCGUUCAAAG